Long non-coding RNA from Oncorhynchus keta (chum salmon), 613 nucleotides. RefSeq lists it as uncharacterized. NCBI's taxonomy places the organism in Eukaryota, Metazoa, Chordata, Actinopteri, Salmoniformes, Salmonidae. The transcript is spliced from 4 exons. The record is from RefSeq and is a predicted model, not a curated record.
AUAGUGGAACCCUUUUUGAUGCUAUAUAGAACCUUUUAUUAAUGGUUCUUUAUAGAACAUUAGCACCAUGUUCCAUUUAGAACCUUGAGCAUGGUUCUUCAUAGAACCUCCAAAAAAAGGUUACAUAUAGCACCAAAAGGAAUUUGCUAUGGCAGCGGUUCCCGAACUAGGGGUUUGCAACUGUUCCUAACUCCCCAGGUAAUCAGAGCUCUUUAAGAACCCCCUCCUCUCCUCUCCUGUCUCCCCAGGUAAUCAGAGCUCUUAAGAACCCCCUCCUCUCCUCUCCUGUCUCCCCAGGUAAUCAGAGCUCUUAAGAACCCCCUCCUCUCCUCUCCUGUCUCCCCAGGUAAUCAGAGCUCUUAAGAACCCCCUCCUCUCCUCUCCUGUCUCCCCAGGUAAUCAGAGCUCUUAAGAACCCCUUCCUCUCCUCUCCUGUCUCCCCAGGUAAUCAGAGCUCUUAAGAACCCCUUCCUCUCCUCUCCUGUCUCCCCAGGUAAUCAGAGCUCUUAAGAACCCCUUCCUCUCCUCUCCUGUCUCCCCAGGUAAUCAGAGCUCUUAAGAACCCCUUCCUCUCCUCUCCUGUCUCCCCAGGUAAUCAGAGCUCUUUAAGAAC